AAUAGAUACCCGGUAGUCCAUGCCGUAAACGAUGUCUACUAGCCGUUGGGGCCCUUGAGGCUUUAGUGGCGCAGCUAACGCGAUAAGUAGACCGCCUGGGGAGUACGGUCGCAAGACUAAAACUCAAAUGAAUUGACGGGGGCCCGCACAAGCGGUGGAGCAUGUGGUUUAAUUCGAUGCAACGCGAAGAACCUUACCUGGCCUUAACAUACAGAGAACUUUCCAGAGAUGGAUUGGUGCCUUCGGGAACUCUGAUACAGGUGCUGCAUGGCUGUCGUCAGCUCGUGUCGUGAGAUGUUGGGUUAAGUCCCGCAACGAGCGCAACCCUUUUCCUUAUUUGCCAGCACUUCGGGUGGGAACUUUAAGGAUACUGCCAGUGACAAACUGGAGGAAGGCGGGGACGGCGUCAAGUCAUCAUGGCCCUUACGGCCAGGGCUACACACGUGCUACAAUGGUCGGUACAAGGGUUGCUACUGCGCGAGCAGAUGCUAAUCUCAAAAAGCCGAUCGUAGUCCGGAUCGCAGU
RNAcentral lists this ribosomal RNA (525 nucleotides) under uncultured bacterium. RNAcentral describes it as "bacterial SSU rRNA". It matches the Rfam family "Bacterial small subunit ribosomal RNA", at positions 777 to 1304 of the family's 1533-position model. The record is from RNAcentral.